This 1391-nucleotide long non-coding RNA is filed under the name Homo sapiens (human). Its description in RNAcentral is "HSALNT0388279". The record is from RNAcentral. Lineage: Eukaryota; Metazoa; Chordata; Mammalia; Primates; Hominidae.
GCCUUAGCGAGGCCAUGGGGGAAAAAGUCUAACUGGCGGAACUCCUGGGAACUGGGGCGAUGGGCUCUUAGUAUCGGAGGAUUGGAGCCAUCUGAUUUUUACCUGAAAUUCCUUAGUCUCUCCUGUGUUGGGGAAAUGGUAAGUAAGACAGAUUUUCACCAACAGAGAGCGUUUCUAUCUCUUCUCUACUCCUCCCUUUUAAAAUUGAGAUUCUGACAGUGUAAAGGAGUUAGGACCCCCUUUUGGGGAUCGGGCAUGGUUUUGUGGCUUUAAAAUGCUUUAAAAUUGCUGAAGUUUCUUGGUAUUGGAACUGUUUCUCCUAAGUAACAUUUUAUCAUCGCACGUGAAAUACUGUAACUCUCGGUGCCAAAUCCAGGAAAAAUGGGCGGUUAGGAGAAGUCCAGGGAAAGCCGACUGAGCAGGUUGUGAAGGUCACCUUGCCUUCAGGGACCUGGGCUUUCAGCUGUCCAUACCUGGCCCUGGUUGAUGGCGGCAUGCUGGGCAGUGCACGUGAAGACGCACAUGAGACCGGGACUUGCUGUGUUGCCCAGGCUGGUCUUGAACUCCUGGUCUUAAGCAAUCAUACUGCUUUGGCCACCCAAAGCACUGGGAUUACAGGCGUGAACCACCACACCCAGCUCUUAAAACCACAGUAUUUCUAGCCCCGCAGCAGUUCCCGAGACCUUGUGCCUCCUUCCCCGACGCCGCCUGCUCACCGGUGCCCUCGGGCAGGCUCAGGAUGUCCUCGCCCUGCACCCAGCGGUAGCACGGGAAGGCCACCUCCGCGCAGGCUCCAGGGCCCUGCACCGUGAUGCGGUCGCAGAACCACGCGUCGUCCACCAGCCAGUGGUGCUUGCGCAGCCUCACGAACUGCAGGAGCCCCAAGUCCUCUGCAACGUCAUGAUCAAACUCCUCCUCCUGUGCAGGCCGGACCCAGGCCAGACUUAGUAGGAGGGACCCGACUGAGGCCGUUUCGAGGACAGAGCCGCGCUCCUGUGCAACCUCAGUUUCUCAGGGCCUCCAAAGACAGCAUCGCCUCGUUCCCGCCCCCGCACAACCUGCUCUUUGGGUCUCAGACGCCCGGAGUCGGGUGGAGGACGAGGGCCCGCAGCGCCUGGAGCUGAUGCUGGAGCAGCAUCGCCCACGUGGGUCCCAUUAACUGAGCUCUCCCCGCGCCGGUUCUUGGAGGAGCUUCACGUCUGACCUCUGGCCUCAUACUUACAUUGGCUCUGGGUCACUGGGAGAAGGAGCUGGGGGCUGCCGGGACCAGGGGCGGGAAAGGGAGAUGGGGUUGAGCCCAGCCCGGGAUCCCAGCUGCGGACCCUGUCCCUAAUCUUGCCCACCUCGUCCCAGCUUCGUGGAAGUCCCAGUCCGCGAGGUCGCGCUGUCAC